UUUUGGACAGGGUCUCACUAAGUUGCUGAGGCUGGCUUUGAACAUGUAAUCCCCCUGCUUCAGUCUCCCAAGCUGUUGGGAUUAUAGGCAUACACCACUGCACCCAGCAAAUCUAUUCUUUAUUGAAAUUUGAAGCUCAUGAGGCUUAGGGUUGUGGAAAGGAGGCAAAAGUCCAUUUUUUUUCAAUCAACUACCAGUGAUUGAGAAUAUACCAAGAGCUAACCAUACCACAUCUGCCCUUGGGAGACCACAAUCCAGGGAGGAGCAGUUCUAGAGCCUGAUAAAUGUAGACAAAACAACCAAACAUAAGUCUUCAUGACUGGUGAGCUGGGCUUCAACAUAAAACAAAUAAACAUCAAUUUAAACCAGGUUUUUAAAAAAAUAUGCCUUGACAUAAAUUGCAUAUCAUUUCCAUAGCCAAAGUACAGCAUUAAAUUCAAAAACCACAAUUUGUUAGACCUUCUUUUUUAUUUCUCCAUAUUAAUUGUUUAGAAUGUCGGCUGUCUGUGUGCAUUUUGUGUUUUAAUGUAAGACUUGACAGUGCUGUUUUCUCCUCCCUAAGUUUAACCACAAAGAAAGGGACUGGUUUGUGACAUAUAUCCUUGGGGAUUUACUAUAAACUAAGUGUCAGCAGUCUUCAUGCCAACAAAGUUUUAAAUUGGUUUUACGGCUCAAGGAAUCUGCCCAGUUUAAAUAGAAUCUGUUAAGCUUCAUGCACAUCCAGAUAAUCAUCAAAUACAUCGAAGAGAAAUAUGAAUGCAAAAUAACCAAAUCUUCACGUGAGUAAAUAAUUUCCUCUUACUGGUGACAUUUAGGUAUUAAAAUAGCAGUAGCCAGACAACAGGUAUAUGCAAUUUCUGUAGCACAAGAAGAGAAAACACAAGCUUUAACUAACACUAUUGGUCUUGGUUUUGUACAGAUCCUAUGAGUCACUCUCAUUUCAGAAGUCACUUUUCAUAAACAGUAUCUUUAUGUAUUUUAAGCCUUGCUCUCUUUUUUUAAAGGUGAUAGGAAACCUUCCUGGCAACCCUGAUUCAAAAAGAAAAAUCAAAAUGGUAAGGAAAGUUUCUCAAGGCACAUAGACGUGUUUUUCCUCAUGUUUCCCAGCUUGGAAAAUGGCCCCGGAUUUCACAAUGCAUUUGUCAUAUGCCAUCAAUCAAUAGAAUGAAUAUAUUAGAGCUUUCUAAACAGAUUUCUGAACACUUUGUGGGACUACAUUAGAAAUAAGAUCAUAUAAUAAUUAACUUAGAAAUUAAUUCCCCUUGAAUGGGGUCCAAGGAAGAUGUACAUUUUACUGAAUUUUUCUCUACAGCAAGAGUUCUUCCAGUGAAAUUUCAGCAUAUGGAUUUGUGGUUUGGAGUCAGUUACUUGAUUUUUUUAAAAUGUUUAUUUAUUUAUUGAUACUGUGUUGUUUCUAAAGGAUGUGAGGCAGCUAUUAAAAUCCACAUUAUCCAAAACAAAAGUGAGGAACUCAAUAAAAAUAGAAAUAAAAGGGUAAGGCAAAGCUAGAAGUGUCUUUACUGCAUAAAUGCAGAACCUUGAUAUGUUCUCUUGCCAAUGAAGGAACAUCUUUAAAAAUAAUAGAAUUGGCAGUAAUGAUAAGUCCUACUGCACACUAGAAAUAAAUCUUUCCCCACAAGGGCAAAGUUUUGAAAUAACACAGACUAUUGAAAUUCACAGCUUAUAGAUACUCUUCAAAUCUGGAUUUUGCUAUAUAUGUGCCUGGUGUAUAGUAUGUAUCCAAUAAAUGUCUGAUGAUAGGUGGAUUGAAUGAGCAAACUGAAGGAAAACAAAAUUUUAAUCAGCAAUCGUUCAUAGAGUUCCUAUUAUGUGAUAUGGCAAAUGUUGAUAAAAUAACUAGUAAGAUAGAAAUCCAGAUCUUAAGAAAUAGGGGACUGGGAUAUAUAAGAAGCACAAUGAAUGUGACAGAUGAGAUGAAGAAUAUGCUCUGGGGACUCAAAUAUGGAAAAGACUUCCUUCCAUUGGAAAGAUCAUAAGGAACACAGCCCUGCGUUGAGCCUGUGGAAUGAGCAGAAUCUUACCAGGUAGAAACAGGAGGAAGGCCUGCCAAGCAUAGGGUGAAUAAGGUGUAGAGUGUGGCUGAUGGCUGUCCUCUGACUAAUAAGUUGUACUGUGCCUCCUUUCAAGGGAAAGCAAGGAGCUAGUUUGACUGGAGCUUAUAAUUUUUGCAUGAUUUAAACAUGAAACAAUAGGAAAUGAUGCUGAGAAGGCAGGUUAGGGCUCAUUCAUAGACUUGAAUGUCAGGCUGGCUAUAACCCUUGGGUGGAGAGCAAUUAGGGAAGUGAUGAAAUUUGAAUCAGAGAAGGUGGGACUAGAAAUAGGCUGGGGCAGCGGCUUCAUUACCGAUGCAAGGAGCUAACAAAUCACCUACAUACUCCAAGUUCAUUUGACACAGUAAAAGAAAAAAUAUCCAUACUUAAAACAAUGUAUGGUUCUUCCUUGAAUCCCAUAUCUGAUUUCUUCAUUGACCCAGGAAAAAUACAUGCAGGCUCACAACCUGAAGUUAUUUACAGCUACUUUAAAGUUUUCAAUAAUAAAUUUCAACAACCAAACCUAACAAUUUUUAUAUUUAUCUAAUCUAAACACUAAAACUUCAACUCCUAGUUUUAUUCAAUUGGAGGUCACUUUGAAAUGGUGAAGAAACCGAAUAAUAGAAUGGGGAGAAUCCAGUUCUACUUUUUAGUAAUAAACAAAUAACUAGUGAAAUGCCUAUAUCAUGGUCAUAAUGAACCUAUUUAAAUAAAUGGGGGGAAAGUGGUUGAAUUUAACAAUCCAUCCUUCUCUAGAACCUAUGGAUCAGUCAGGACACAAACCCAGGAAUUAUUAGGAAACAAAACUCAGAGAAAUGUCUUUACUCUGCUCUGCUGAAAAGGUUGACGAACUUACCCUUUAAGUCAUGUUUGUUGGAAGUCUACUUUUAAGAGACUACCUCUUCUCUGCAUCAUAAAUAUAAGCAACAUAAGUUUGAGAAUCCAGAGAGGGCUAGAAGAAAUUACUGUCCCCUUUGCCACCAGGUUUUACCAGGAGCCUGAGAUGUCAGUAGAAAGUUCCCUGAGAUUUGACCACAGAUUUGCCUAAUUUUGUAUCUCAGAUUACACUGUUUUGUUGUAUGAAGACAGAUAAGGAAAUGUACCUGAAGCCAGAGCUGGGAUCUGCUCAUGUGGAGUUCUGGUGGCAGUGAGUAGUCCACCCUUGGGUUGAAGUCUCAGAUUAGUGAGCAGUCCGGAGAUGGCCUUAAUUUCCUAUGGAGCAGAGAGAGGGAGGAGAGCAAGGAAACUCACCACAAAGCUGGCCACUCGGGCUAUGUCUCAGUGCUCCAUUCCCAUGUCCUUUUCAACAAGAGUUGUCCAGGAUUUAAAACCUGAAAGGGAUUAGCAGAAGUUUGGAAGCCCAUCAAGAGUGAACAUGUAUUCUGUAGUAUCAACUAAAAUAGUGUUAUAAGUCAUUAACCAGUACACUACAUGCAUGGAAUUACACAACCCAUACAGAAGUUCCACAGAAUCAGCUUGGGCCUGACAGCAGGUAGCUCUGCUUUCUUAAUAUUUUGAGACGUAUAGUGCAUGUCUGUGCAUAUAAGGAAAGAAAAUGGCUCUAUAGUACAACUAGGAAACAAGGGCAGCCUGGAUUUUCAUGAUAGGGACUUCCUCUGUGCUUUCAUUUAUUCAUUUAUUUAUUUAUUUUUAUUAUGCUUUCUUGACAUUGACGUGGGUGACAUUGUCUAAAGGAAAUUGUGGGUCAUGUGAAUUUUUCCCAACAUUGAAGACUUUAAAGGAUUGUGUUCAUUCCAAUGUUGGGAUGAGGAAACUGUUCCAUGCACACCUAUUGCUUGGUCUUAGCAGUUGCUAUACACUUAUCUCACUCACAGUCCCAAAGUUGAGAAUUUACACUGGAAACCAUGAACCCCCACUUUCCCAAGCAGAGACACUGUUAAUGUUACGAUGCGCAUAAAUACCUCAACUGUCUGGGCUGAGAGAAGGAAGGGGCUGCAGGUUUACAAGAGAGCAGCUAUAGUCCUCAUUCCAUGUGGUUCCACCAUCUGACAACUGGACUUGACAUUCUAGUCUUUCUCACUGUGGAAAAGAAAUGUUACUGUUUAAUUCAUAUCCAAAGUUAUAAAUACAGCUUGUAAAUUCUACUGACUUGUUUCAUUUUUGUUUGGUCCUUGAGAAGUACAACUUGCAUUUUGCAGAUGGUAAUUUCUGGUGUCGUUCCCUGCUGCUUUUUUUUUUUUCUGUAUAAAAUUGCUGUAUUUGUUAAAGUUUGUUUGUUGUGUGGUUUUUAACUCCCAUUGGUGCACUGUACAAUGGGGUGUUGUGAUGUACCUUGAAGAAAGAAAUAAUAUACAGAUGUAUUAUGGAGUGUGUUUUAUUUUCAAAUGACUGUAGUGUUGACAAUAUAUUGAUUUGUCAAAAUUCUAAGGGAAAAUUCUAAAUUUACCAAAAUGUGUAUAUUUUAAUAAAUGCAUAAAGCUUU
Sciurus carolinensis (gray squirrel) is the source of this 4494-nucleotide long non-coding RNA. RefSeq lists it as uncharacterized. The transcript is spliced from 2 exons. Lineage: Eukaryota; Metazoa; Chordata; Mammalia; Rodentia; Sciuridae. The record is from RefSeq and is a predicted model, not a curated record.